UACGGGGGGGGUAAGCGUUGUUCGGAAUUACUGGGCGUAAAGGGCUCGUAGGCGGCCAACUAAGUCAGACGUGAAAUCCCUCAGCUUAACUGGGGAACUGCGUCUGAUACUGGAUGGCUUGGAUUCGGGAGAGGAAUGCGGAAUUCCAGGUGUAGCGGUGAAAUGCGUAGAUAUCAGGAGGAACACCGGUGGCGAAGGCGGCACUCUGGGCCGGUACUGACGCUGAGGAGCGAAAGCGUGGGGAGCGAACAGG
Molecule: ribosomal RNA, 253 nt
Filed under: uncultured bacterium
Lineage: Bacteria
Description: partial 16S ribosomal RNA
Rfam family: Bacterial small subunit ribosomal RNA
Source: RNAcentral